UCUUCCGCAAUGGACGAAAGUCUGACGGAGCAACGCGGCGUGAGUGAUGAAGGUUUUCGGAUCGUAAAACUCUGUUGUUAGGGAAGAACAAGUACCGUUCGAAUAGGGCGGUACCUUGACGGUACCUAACCAGAAAGCCACGCCUAACUCCGUGCCAGCAGCCGCGGUAAUACGUAGGUGGCAAGCGUUGUCCGGAAUUAUUGGGCUUAAAGCGCGCGCAGGCGGUUGCUUAAGGCUGGUGUGAAAGCCCCCGGCUCAACCGGGGAGGGUCAUUGGAAACUGGGGAACUUGAGUGCAGAAGAGGAGAGUGGAAUUCCACGUGUAGCGGUGAAAUGCGUGGAGAUGUGGAGGAACACCAGUGGCGAAGGCGACUCUCUGGUCUGUAACUGACGCUGAGGCGCGAAAGCGUGGGGAGCGAACAG
This 422-nucleotide ribosomal RNA is filed under the name uncultured bacterium. RNAcentral's name for it is "bacterial SSU rRNA". It matches the Rfam family "Bacterial small subunit ribosomal RNA", at positions 362 to 775 of the family's 1533-position model. The record is from RNAcentral.